This 576-nucleotide long non-coding RNA is filed under the name Triticum aestivum (bread wheat). RNAcentral describes it as "long non-coding RNA (TAES_LNC025592)". The record is from RNAcentral. Lineage: Eukaryota; Viridiplantae; Streptophyta; Magnoliopsida; Poales; Poaceae.
CAUUUCUCAGGAAGCCCUGAACACUGCAAUAGAAUAGAGGAGGAAAUAAAGGUGAUUUAAUACAACCAUCAGAGCACAAAAUAUUUUACAUGCCAAUGUACAACAGUAUAACACCAAUGCAAAACUUACUCUAAACAACCAUUGUAGAAUUUCCAAGCUUAUUGAAAUUGAUGGUUGACUCGGGUAAGCCUACACAAACAAAAACAACUUUGGAAUUAAUACUUUUGGCAUUCAAAACUCGGGAUAUCUAAUAUAUUUUCCAUUUUCCACAUGAAUAUCUUAGUAGGAUAAACCUCCCAUGAAUUGUUGAGGCUGAUCUUGAAGCUAUCAUAUAGAUCACCUAUAUAACAACAAUCUGGAUUCCCUGGCCAACACUGAGAUGCAAUGUUUUGGACAUCUGGCCACACGUAACAAGAGCAUGCAGGUACAGAAAAUAAAGACGUGUAUUGCAGCGGCCAUCCAUCUUGAUGAAAGAAUGGUAUAAAUAUUAGAGGAAAAGUGACACGGGUCCGCGUCUUGCCCAUAACAAAUAGAACCAGGCAAGAAAUCCCGGGAUUCGGAACUAAGAAAGCAAGU